This 1232-nucleotide ribosomal RNA is filed under the name metagenome. RNAcentral's name for it is "bacterial SSU rRNA". It matches the Rfam family "Bacterial small subunit ribosomal RNA", at positions 275 to 1498 of the family's 1533-position model. The record is from RNAcentral.
GACGAUCAGUAGCCGGCCUGAGAGGGUGAACGGCCACACUGGGACUGAGACACGGCCCAGACUCCUACGGGAGGCAGCAGUGGGGAAUAUUGCGCAAUGGGGGAAACCCUGACGCAGCGACGCCGCGUGAGCGAUGAAGGCCUUAGGGUCGUAAAGCUCUGUUUUAAGGGACGAAUGUCUAGACGAGUAAUAUGCGUUUAGAAUGACGGUACCUUAAGAGGAAGCCCCGGCUAACUACGUGCCAGCAGCCGCGGUAAGACGUAGGGGGCGAGCGUUGUCCGGAAUUACUGGGCGUAAAGAGCACGUAGGCGGAGAUUUAAGUCAGAUGUGAAAGACCGGGGCUCAACCCCGGGAUUGCAUUUGAAACUGGAUCCCUUGAGGGCAGGAGAGGAAAGCAGAAUUCCUGGUGUAGCGGUGAAAUGCGUAGAAAUCAGGAGGAAUACCAGUGGCGAAGGCGGCUUUCUGGACUGUCCCUGACGCUGAGGUGCGAAAGCGUGGGUAGCAAACAGGAUUAGAUACCCUGGUAGUCCACGCCGUAAACGAUGGAUACUAGGUGUGGGAGGUAUCGACCCCUUCCGUGCCGCAGCUAACGCAAUAAGUAUCCCGCCUGGGGAGUACGAUCGCAAGGUUGAAACUCAAAGGAAUUGACGGGGGCCCGCACAAGCGGUGGAGCAUGUGGUUUAAUUCGAUUCAACGCGGAGAACCUUACCAGGUCUUGACAUCUGUAGAACCUCGAUGAAAGUUGAGGGUGCCUUCGGGAGCUACAAGACAGGUGGUGCAUGGUUGUCGUCAGCUCGUGUCGUGAGAUGUUGGGUUAAGUCCCGCAACGAGCGCAACCCUUGCUAUUAGUUGCUAACGGUUCGGCCGAGCACUCUAAUGGGACUGCCUGUGACAAGCAGGAGGAAGGUGGGGAUGACGUCAAAUCAUCAUGCCCUUUAUGACCUGGGCUACACACGUGCUACAAUGGAUGGUACAGAGAGCAGCAAGACCGCGAGGUGGAGCGAAUCUCAAAAAGCCAUUCUCAGUUCGGAUUGGAGUCUGCAACUCGACUCCAUGAAGUCGGAAUCGCUAGUAAUCGCGAAUCAGAAUGUCGCGGUGAAUGCGUUCCCGGGCCUUGUACACACCGCCCGUCACACCACGAAAGUCGGCAACACCCGAAGCCGGUGAGCUAACCGCAAGGAGGCAACCGUCGAAGGUGGGGUUGGUAAUUGGGGUGAAGUCGAAACAAGGUA